CCAGACUCCUACGGGAGGCAGCAGUGGGGAAUUUUCCGCAAUGGGCGAAAGCCUGACGGAGCAACGCCGCGUGAGGGACGAAGGCCUCUGGGCUGUAAACCUCUUUUCUCAAGGAAGAAGAUAUGACGGUACUUGAGGAAUAAGCCACGGCUAAUUCCGUGCCAGCAGCCGCGGUAAUACGGGAGUGGCAAGCGUUAUCCGGAAUUAUUGGGCGUAAAGCGUCCGCAGGCGGCUUUUCAAGUCUGCUGUUAAAGCGUGGAGCUUAACUCCAUUAUGGCAGUGGAAACUGAUAGGCUUGAGUAUGGUAGGGGCAGAGGGAAUUCCCGGUGUAGCGGUGAAAUGCGUAGAUAUCGGGAAGAACACCAGUGGCGAAGGCGCUCUGCUGGGCCAUUACUGACGCUCAUGGACGAAAGCCAGGGGAGCGAAAGGGAUUAGAUACCCCUGUAGUCCUGGCCGUAAACGAUGAACACUAGGUGUCGGGGGAAUCGACCCCUUCGGUGUCGUAGCUAACGCGUUAAGUGUUCCGCCUGGGGAGUACGCACGCAAGUGUGAAACUCAAAGGAAUUGACGGGGGCCCGCACAAGCGGUGGAGUAUGUGGUUUAAUUCGAUGCAACGCGAAGAACCUUACCAGGGUUUGACAUCCUGCGAACCUCUUAGAAAUUUGAGGGUGCCUUCGGGAAUGCAGUGACAGGUGGUGCAUGGCUGUCGUCAGCUCGUGUCGUGAGAUGUUGGGUUAAGUCCCGCAACGAGCGCAACCCACGUUUUUAGUUGCCAGCAUUUAGUUGGGCACUCUAGAAAGACCGCCGGUGAUAAACCGGAGGAAGGUGUGGAUGACGUCAAGUCAUCAUGCCCCUUACACCCUGGGCUACACACGUACUACAAUGCUACGGACAAAGGGCAGCAAACUCGCGAGAGCUAGCAAAUCCCAUAAACCGUGGCUCAGUUCAGAUCGUAGGCUGCAACUCGCCUACGUGAAGUAGGAAUCGCUAGUAAUCGCAGGUCAGCAUACUGCGGUGAAUACGUUCCCGGGCCUUGUACACACCGCCCGUCACACCAUGGAAGUUGGCCAUGCCCGAAGUCGUUACUCCAACCCUUGUGGAGGAGGACGCCGAAGGUGGGGCUAAUGACUGGGGUGAAGUCGUAACAAGGUAGCCGUACCGGAAGGUGCGGCUG
This 1174-nucleotide ribosomal RNA is filed under the name marine metagenome. Its description in RNAcentral is "bacterial SSU rRNA". It matches the Rfam family "Bacterial small subunit ribosomal RNA", at positions 331 to 1520 of the family's 1533-position model. The record is from RNAcentral.